CUUAUGCCGGCGACCGGCGACGGGUGCGUAACGCGUAUGUAACCUACCUUUGACAGGGGGAUAACAUCGAGAAAUUGGUACUAAUACCCCAUAACAUCACCGGAGGCAUCUUCGGUGGUUGAAAACUCAGGUGGUCAGAGAUGGACAUGCGUUGUAUUAGCUAGUUGGUGAGGUAACGGCUCACCAAGGCGACGAUACAUAGGGGGACUGAGAGGUCAACCCCCCACAUUGGUACUGAGACACGGACCAAACUCCUACGGGAGGCAGCAG
RNAcentral lists this ribosomal RNA (270 nucleotides) under uncultured bacterium. RNAcentral describes it as "partial 16S ribosomal RNA". It matches the Rfam family "Bacterial small subunit ribosomal RNA", at positions 78 to 354 of the family's 1533-position model. The record is from RNAcentral.